This is a long non-coding RNA of Vidua chalybeata, 634 nucleotides long. RefSeq lists it as uncharacterized. Lineage: Eukaryota; Metazoa; Chordata; Aves; Passeriformes; Viduidae. The transcript has 3 exons. The record is from RefSeq and is a predicted model, not a curated record.
UUGCUGACUCAGAUGUUGGCUGGAGGGACAACUGCAGAUGUUUAAGGCAGAUACUUGUACCUGGUGCUGCUCUCUGCAAGGCACUGGCUGGAAGCUCUGCUGAAGGAAAGGAUUUCAUUCCAUAGAGCAUCUGCAUAAACACAAACAAAACCACUGAAGAUGGAAGAUGACAGCAGUGAACUCUGCUCCUAAGGGAAACAGCUUCACCAACCUCAUCACACGGAAGAGACGGAAAAAAGUGAUGGAGAUCCGAGCACUGUCCUCAGAGUUCUGAAGAGCAUCAGGAAAAGUCAAACCAAAUACAAACUCAAACAUGCAACACUUCCAGAAAAACAACAUAAAAUGCAAAGGUGGAAGAGCAUGGAAAGCCCAACUUUCUAUGUGACCUUCUGCUACCUCAUGAGAUAUGAAUGCUCUCCAAACCCAAACCUCUCACAGAAAAAGAAAUCAUCAUUUGUUAAACCAAGCCACUGAAAACUUACAGAAACUUGAAUUGUCUUGGUCAAGUUACCUACAAAAAGCAAUGGGCUUCAAGUAAGAUAGUAACAUCAGCUUACUUUUUUUUAAUAUUUUCUGUGCAUAUAUAGAAAAACAAUUUUUAUUGUCUCACUGUGCUGUGUGCAUGUGCAGCUAU